RNAcentral lists this ribosomal RNA (483 nucleotides) under uncultured bacterium. RNAcentral's name for it is "bacterial SSU rRNA". It matches the Rfam family "Bacterial small subunit ribosomal RNA", at positions 28 to 507 of the family's 1533-position model. The record is from RNAcentral.
GAUGAACGCUAGCGGCAGGCCUAUCACAUGCAAGUCGAGGGGUAACGUGAGUGCUUGCACUUGACGACGACCGGCGCACGGGUGCGGAACGCGUAUGGAACCUACCUUUAUCAGGGAGAUAGCCCAUGGAAACGUGGAUUAAUAUCCCAUAGUAUUAUUUUAUCGCCUGAUAGAAUAAUUAAAGAAUUUCGGAUAGAGAUGGCCAUGCGUAUCAUUAGCUAGUAGGCGAGGUAACGGCUCACCUAGGCGACGAUGAUUAGGGGUCCUGAGAGGGAGAUCCCCCACACUGGUACUGAGACACGGACCAGACUCCUACGGGAGGCAGCAGUGAGGAAUAUUGGGCAAUGGAGGCAACUCUGACCCAGCCAUGCCGCGUGCAGGAAGACGGCCCUACGGGUUGUAAACUGCUUUUAUACAGGAAGAACACCACCCACGUGUGGGUGACUGACGGUACUGUAAGAAUAAGGACCGGCUAACUCCGUG